Molecule: long non-coding RNA, 579 nt
Organism: Papaver somniferum (opium poppy)
Lineage: Eukaryota; Viridiplantae; Streptophyta; Magnoliopsida; Ranunculales; Papaveraceae
Exons: 3
Source: RefSeq, a predicted model, not a curated record
AUGUUUCUUCUGAAGAAAUGAAGAAGAAGAAAUAAAAGUUGUAAAAAGGUUAAAAUUGGAAUUCAACUAAAUCGGGGUUUGUUUUGAACUUGCAUUUUACCCCUUAAGGGUGUUUGUACACGGACCACCAAUACCGAAGUCAGGAUCAAGGGUUUUGUCGACGACCAACAUAAAAAGAUGGUGAACUCUACCGCUCAAUUUGGGGAAUCAGAUUGAAUAAAUACGAUUAGAAGUUAACGGCCACAAAAUGUAAGGGGGCUAACUUGUUUUCUAGUUAAUCAGGAGAAAGGGUUUUUUCCACCGGCCAAUAGGAGGGGAGGUUAGCGCAACUCUCGACGUGAUGUGAGAGAUGUGGUUGGGUGUUUAGGUUGUUGAUGUAUUGCAGGCGGACACACUCCAUGGUCCUCAUUGAAUUCUCUCAUAUAAUAUCAUACAUUUUAAAAGCUUCUUGCAGAUAAUCGACAUACAAGGUUACAAGUAAAGCUCUACUGCAUGAAACAACUGUGGGAAACACAUCAAAGCACAACCGAGGUCAUGAGCAGAAGGUGAAGUAUCCAUAGGGUCUAUAAGCCAUCAUCA